This 68-nucleotide transfer RNA is filed under the name Acetes chinensis (northern mauxia shrimp). RNAcentral describes it as "tRNA-Tyr". It matches the Rfam family "tRNA". Rfam says of the family: Transfer RNA (tRNA) molecules are approximately 80 nucleotides in length. Their secondary structure includes four short double-helical elements and three loops (D, anti-codon, and T loops). Further hydrogen bonds mediate the characteristic L-shaped molecular structure. tRNAs have two regions of fundamental functional importance: the anti-codon, which is responsible for specific mRNA codon recognition, and the 3' end, to which the tRNAs corresponding amino acid is attached (by aminoacyl-tRNA synthetases). tRNAs cope with the degeneracy of the genetic code in two manners: having more than one tRNA (with a specific anti-codon) for a particular amino acid; and 'wobble' base-pairing, i.e. permitting non-standard base-pairing at the 3rd anti-codon position. Lineage: Eukaryota; Metazoa; Arthropoda; Malacostraca; Decapoda; Sergestidae. The record is from RNAcentral.
GAUAAAAUGGCUGAGGUUUAGGCGAUAGACUGUAAAUCUAUAUACGAGUUUUAGAGGCUCUUUUAUUG